GUGCCAGCAGCCGCGGUAAGACAGAGGGUGCAAGCGUUGUUCGGAAUUACUGGGCAUAAAGCGCACGUAGGCGGUUCGCUAAGUCUGUCGUGAAAUCCCCCGGCUCAACCGGGGAAUAGCGUCGGAUACUGGCGAGCUCGAGGUCGAUAGGGGUAAGCGGAACUCCAGGUGGAGCGGUGAAAUGCGUAGAUAUCUGGAGGAACACCGGUGGCGAAAGCGGCUUACUGGAUCGAAUCUGACGCUGAGGUGCGAAAGCUAGGGUAGCAAACGGGAUUAGAAACCCCCGUAGUCC
RNAcentral lists this ribosomal RNA (292 nucleotides) under uncultured bacterium. RNAcentral's name for it is "partial 16S ribosomal RNA". It matches the Rfam family "Bacterial small subunit ribosomal RNA", at positions 505 to 796 of the family's 1533-position model. The record is from RNAcentral.